AUUGGUCCCUCGACGCUUCGUCCGAUUCUUCGGUGCAUCGUCCUUUCCUGCAGCCUAUUGCCCAAUCGGCCUGUUGACUCCGCAACUCCGAUAUCCUUGGCACAAUACCCGCUCUUCUUGGCCCGAUGCCCGAGUCCACAACCCGAAGCCUUCUGUCGAUACGUCGACCGAUCCACCGGCCCGACGUCCAAUCUUCUGACAUGUU
Molecule: long non-coding RNA, 205 nt
Filed under: Musa acuminata (dwarf banana)
Lineage: Eukaryota; Viridiplantae; Streptophyta; Magnoliopsida; Zingiberales; Musaceae
Description: long non-coding RNA (MACU_LNC007039)
Source: RNAcentral